This is a long non-coding RNA of Tarenaya hassleriana, 534 nucleotides long. RefSeq lists it as uncharacterized. NCBI's taxonomy places the organism in Eukaryota, Viridiplantae, Streptophyta, Magnoliopsida, Brassicales, Cleomaceae. The transcript is spliced from 3 exons. The record is from RefSeq and is a predicted model, not a curated record.
GCGAGUGAUUUUCCCCCAUGGGUUGGAGAGGAGAUCUAUCGAGAAGUAUGAAGGAGCUCCGGAUUCUGCUCUGCCAGUCUUCUCCUGAGAGCGCUUCCACCAGGACGUUUUGUAGAGAAGAAUUACGACGACUUUAAGAGCCUAAACCCUACAUUCCCGAUCCUGGUCCGCGAAUGCAGUGGGAUCCAGCCUCAGAUGUGGGCGAGAUACGAUAUGGGCAUAGAGACUAGAGAGGUGUGUCAACUUGGAUAUGGAAUGAGGGAGCCGCAGAUUUUGAAGGCGCUCAAAGACCUUGUGAAAGCCGGAGGAGCUACAAAAGCCUAAGGUGGCGGUUGUUCAAAGACCUUGUUAAAUUCCAACUGCGUUUCUUUCCUUUGGAAAGGUGUGAUAGACUCUACCCAUGGACACAAGAUAGCUCGGGAUAUAGUUCCUGCUCCCAAAGGGGAAGGAGGACUAGGUUUACGAAAUAUACAAGUUUAAAAUAAUAUAUGUGAGCUGAAACUGGUUUGACAGAUAUUCUUUAAGAAUGAAUCA